AAAUCUGAGGUAGGCAAAUCUCGGGGAUGCAGCCCGCGAGUUGGCCUCUGUUUUGCACCUGGAGGAGGAGCUGAGGCGUUCUGGGCAUCCUACAGAAACUGACAAGCGCUCCCCUGUAACCCCCAAAUCCAUACAACGGCCCAAAGGGAGCAGGCGGAAGAAAGGGCUCAGGCUCUCCGGCCCCGAAGUCCAAAAAUACCUUCAUUUCCUCAUUGAUCUCCCUUUUCACUGGGCAAAAUGAUAUCUGGGACUUGCUUCAAAAUAUUCCAGCAUUGUUGGGAAGAGGAAUGAAAAAUGUGGAUAACUGUUGAAACUGGAUAAUAAGUACAGGCCAGCAGAAGGCAGAGAAGACAGUAAAUGAAGUCCAGUGGCACUUGACCGGCUUCAGGAUCCUGAAAAAAGUGAAGCAGGAACUGUGACCAUCUUUUGUCAGCUUGCUGACUUCAGAACAACCCCAGUCCCAGGGAGAAGGUGUCCCUGUUUGAGGCUGGAGGUUUCCACAGGUUGGAGAGUGACCACUCUAACCUUCAGGGUUGCCCACACCGAGGACCUCUUCUUUUGCUACUUUCUAGGAGUAAAUGUCAUGUAUGGAAAUUUUCUUUCAGCAUCUCCCACUUUCCUAUAUUCUCAUGGGUGAUUUUGCCACCCACCCCUCAUCCCUGACCCAGGGGACUUUUGACUAUGUUCUUGGAUAAACCUGGCCAUCACACUUAGAGAGGGGUACUGCUGACAUCUGGUGAGGUGAGUAGAGGCCAGGGAUGCUGCAAAACAUCUUACCAUGCACAGGACAACCUUCACCUCCCCCCUACCUCCCAUACCAAAGGGUUAUCUGGUCCAAAUGGCAUUAAUGCCAAGGUAAGGAACCCUGCUGUAGUCUUUCUUUGUGCACACAUUCCCAGACAUCCUCAAAAUGACUCUUACCAGUGGCAGAGGAAGGGCAGAACCACAGACACUCCUUGUCUUUGUACCUUCAAAAGUCACUAGCAAUUCAAAACUCUCUUUAGUCAGCCUCUAAGGAGUUAUGUAUUUAUCUGAAAGAUUAAAUAAUAUACUAUUUUAACCUUCUAAAAACCAAUUAUCACUAGGUAUAAUGCAACCUUUUAACCAUAAGAAUAAAGGAAAGUGUUGAUUAUUUAAAGUAAAUGGGACCAAAAGUCCCAUGAAUAAUCAAAAACUUGGUUAAUAGAGUAUGACCAGAGAAUAAUGCACUUGGCUUCUGUGGAGAAAUUAAAGUACAUGCUGUGAAUUGGUAUUAAGGAAAUUACAUGAAAAGUUAGUCUUAAAGUACCAUGAUUCUGAAGAAACAGCCUCAGGAGGACAAUAUAUCACAUUGUCUGUCUCCCCUCAUUUUUCAUGACCUUUUUCACCUUGGAUAACCCAGAAGCUCAGGCCUUGGAACUUUUUGGAAUUUUAAGUUAUCUCACUGUCCAUAUUUAUUUUCAUUUGGAACAGACCUGAAUUUUAUUGCUGGGAGUGUGUUAUCUCUUUCACAGGAAUUGUUUUUGAACUUCGGCUUGCCUUAUUUAUUUAGCAGGCAUAGACUGUUUAAUACUUAUGAGCAUAAUUCACUUCAUCUAAAAUGUAGCAAUGUACCCCUGAAAGGCUAUGCUUAGACAGAAUUUUUGGAAAUAAAAUUGGAUUCUUAAA
This 1647-nucleotide long non-coding RNA is filed under the name Sus scrofa (pig). RNAcentral describes it as "lncRNA (ENSSSCG00005033253.1)". Lineage: Eukaryota; Metazoa; Chordata; Mammalia; Artiodactyla; Suidae. The record is from RNAcentral.